Molecule: transfer RNA, 73 nt
Filed under: Canis lupus familiaris (dog)
Lineage: Eukaryota; Metazoa; Chordata; Mammalia; Carnivora; Canidae
Also listed under: 1 other name
Rfam family: tRNA
About the family: Transfer RNA (tRNA) molecules are approximately 80 nucleotides in length.
Source: Rfam by way of RNAcentral
ACCUGGCUGGCUUGGUGGGUAGAGCAUUGGACUCUUGAUCUCAGGGUUGUGAGUCCAAGCCCCAUGUUGGGUA